Molecule: non-coding RNA, 568 nt
Organism: Paramormyrops kingsleyae
Lineage: Eukaryota; Metazoa; Chordata; Actinopteri; Osteoglossiformes; Mormyridae
Source: RefSeq, a predicted model, not a curated record
CCGUCUCCUCCGCGAUCUCCUCUCACUCGCUUCCCCGGCGUCGGCAGCAGUGCGAGGGGCGACCUGACAGCGGCUCUGUCAGCAGGGGAAGCUCACUUUGCCCCGGUUACCGCUCCGAUUCACUCUCCGCAUCUGCGGCGGCGGGAUUGAAAGCGCAGUUAAGGGGUUCUGUCUGGAAUAAGAAAGCAUCGCUGUUUCUGACUAGGGAGAAGAAAGAUAAGAUUCCUCUGGAUUUCCUAACAUAUGUGAUCUGGACACCUUACUGAUUUUGUCUAACAUUUGAAAGGGAGUCCGGAGGAGUCUUACGCUUUCCUUCUUCCAGUCUGAACGAGCCACUUAGACCAUUCCCCCGUCACUGGUUAGCGAUGCGCUAGACUUGUGGCUCAGCCGUGACAGACGAGAGCACCUGGCAAGUAGACUGAUGGCACCUGCGUGAACUUGGGAGGAAACGUUCUCUGUCCUGAGACGGCAACAACACGAUGAACCUUGGAGAGAGGUCUCUCUGCAGUCUCUUGCAGGUCUCAGGACAGGGAGCAUUCCACCUCUGACGUCCACGUCUUCUGCCUGA